Molecule: long non-coding RNA, 35308 nt
Filed under: Phoenix dactylifera (date palm)
Lineage: Eukaryota; Viridiplantae; Streptophyta; Magnoliopsida; Arecales; Arecaceae
Description: long non-coding RNA (PDAC_LNC002272)
Source: RNAcentral
CAGGCCCAACUUGCUGUUUCUGAAGCAAAACCCCGUCUUCAAACUACAGGAGGAUAUCCUGGUCCCAAGGGAGAAAAGAAUUUUUCCCCUAUGAUUGUUGAGCUUGGCGUUUCUUACCUCCCAAUCUCUCCUACCUAGAGCACGCUGCUUCCUCCAUCCCCAUUGUGUUCCAUGCCAUGAUCGCCAUCUUUGACCUAAGUACAGACCGUGCCUCCAUGCUCCUUCACCCUUCAUCUCCUAUGUCUUCUAUCGGGGCACUUCUGCCAUCUCCACCUCCUCCUACUGCUUCUAGCUUGUAACAUGUGCCAUGGAACAAUCUUGCUCCUUCCUAGAGGUUGGUGGAGGGUAUUUAGCGAUGGAAGAGAAGUUGGUCUCUCUGUUUGUGGAGCCAAGUCUGUUUUUUUCUUCCCUUGUCAAUGAGAGCAAAAUAGAGGCAACAUUAAUUGACUGUAGCUUGCUAAUUUUAGCAAGACCAGGUGGUUCUUGUCAAUACCCACUGCUUUCUAAUUUUAUCUUUAUUGCAGAGAAUUUUCAUCCAAAGUUAGUUAAUGACUCUAUAUUGGCACUUAGAAAAAGAAAAUAAAAGAAUGGCUUUCUGUACAAAAGGGAGAACUCCUCAUAAACUUAUGUUUUUAAAACAAAUUGUGAAUUUUUCACACCCCUUUUUUUUCUUUAGAAAGACCUAAGGGACUGCAACAUGUUGCUAUCUGGAAAUAUGUUGUUCUAUCAUCAUUCACUUAAAUAGAAGAUAAACUGGAGGGUCUAUUUCACCUUUAAUUUCUGUUUUUAAUAAAUUUAAUGCAAAACAGAAACUCGUAGUUGGGAAGGUGCUUGACUGAUUAAUUGUGUUUUAGAAAGUUACCAUAGGAUAUUUGUCAUCCUUGCUCCAAAUACAGGAUAGGACUAUAAAUCUAAAGGAUUGUUCUCUCAUGGCUAAUAGCUUUCAUAACAUGGGAUGAAUAUCAGUUAUCGUUCCUCUCUAAAAAUCUUCUGCAGGGCUUGGUGAAAAGAAUAAUGGAAUUGAAUCAAUGUGUGACAUCUUUAUUACUGCUAUUAUUAUACCACUAUCAAAAAUAAAUAUUAUCAUCAUUAUCAUUAUUAUAGCACUUAUAUAAUUUUUACAAUGGAAAUUUUCCUGUUCAACUGGCCUUGAAUGUUAAAUGAGUCACAUGUAUGGUCUCGAUGGAAGAGUUGGUUCUCUUGAUGUAAGAGUUCCUUACUUUUUGGAAAAGACUAUUACCUGCUAUGGAGAAUGCUCAUUAAGAAUGGGCAAGUAGACCUAUUGGCUUUGCACUUCAAGCUCCAUCUAGCAAAUUUAUAUCAAAAUUGAUACUUCUGAUGUAACUGAGAAUAACAAUGCAAGUCUGCAGAGGUUUAUAUGUUUAGUUAAGAUCUGCCGUACCGAUUGUACCGAUGUACUGGUGGGCGUCGAUACCGGUACGGUACCAGUACAAUACUGAAUCGAACCGGUACUGUACCAGCAAAGAAAAAAAAUAUUGAGCGGACGCGCACGCGUCUGCAUUAAAUGCCACUUUGUGGCAUUGAAUAUCCCGCACGGGGCAGGGCGAACGGUACUAGUUUGUAUCGUGCGAACUGGGCCGGUUCGCACCGGUACACGUACGGAACCAUUUGGUUCCGAAUCCUUCUGGGUCAGCGGCACCGAUCCGGUACGAGCUGAACCGACUGUUCAGCAUAUCAUGUGUUUAGCUCACACUUUGAGAUACAAUUUACAUAGUUGUGAAUAUUUCAUGCAAACAUCUUGUUUGAUGUGACAUCGUUAUUGCUAAUUACAGGUUUAUGCUCUCUCCAGGGAAAGGGAUACAUUAAGGAGAGAACAAAGUAAAAAAAGUGAUGCAGCUGCUCUUUUGAGAGAGAAAGAUGAGAUAAUCAAUCAAGUUAUGGCUGAAGGUAGAUCUGAAAGGAUCCAUAUGCAUACUAUUUCUACAAAUCAAUUUGUUGACCUUAGAAUAUUUUUUCCACAAAUUUUGCACAUUAUUUCUUAAAUUGUUAUAUGCAACAUUUAGGGUAAUACUUAUUUCAGUGUUGCGGUUACUUAGUUUAUCUUCCUUAAUGUGGUUAUACAUAGACAUUGGCAGUAUAAAAGAAUUUUAUCUAUAGGAAGUAAGGGAAAUAAUUUUUCAAAGCUGGUUAAAAAAAAAAGAAAAUAAAUCGAGGAAGAAUAGUCUAUACAAGAUAAUCGUAGGAAUCUCAGUGGCAUCUAUAUAUGUUGAUACGACCAUAAUCAUCUCAAACUUCUAUAUAUGUAGGUAUGUCACUUAUAAGAGUAACACACUGAUUACCUAAUGAUUGAGUUUUGAUUAUUUACUUCUGGAAUUUACUUGAAAAAGCUAGUAUAGUUUCAGAAUAUGCUGCAGCUGAGCUUGAGGCCUACUGUUUCUGAUUUCUUUUCAUUCUUGUUUGUUUGGCCGAAAUUGUCCAAAUCUGGCAAACGUGUGACUGAGAUGGUUAAUGAGACUGAUAUUUAUACCACCAAUUUUUUUCUUUAAAAAAUUUUCCAGAAGAUCGAUAAAAUGAUUAGAAUACAAUAGACCUGGAAAUAUAAGAAACUUUAUUGGAUAAAAUAUUGUUGUUGAUUUGUGUCUUGACUUCAUAAUAAUAACUUGGAAUUCUCAUAUGAUGAGAAUGAGGUCAGACGUGUUGGUUCUUUUAUAAAUGUUUCAGGUCAACCCUCCCUCCCAACCCAUCAUCACCAUUCUCCACCAUCAGGUGAACUGAAGUAGGCAUGCUCAGCUAGUUAUCUCUUGAACUUGUGGAGCUGGAAUGAGUAUAGAUUUCAAGAAAAUUUUGGUAAACCUUGCUCCGUUUCUGUGGACCUAAAUUAUAUAGGUAUUGUGUAAGCAUAGUUUAGAGUUCUUGAAAGAUAUUUGCUGAAACAACCUUUUGGCUAGCCAAAGUAGUUUAAGAAUUCACAAGCAGUGCAGUGAGAUACGCAAUCCACCUUCUCUAUGAUACAGUGGUACCCCGUACCCGGAUCCUUGAAUUUAGUUCACAUCAUGAAUUUUCCAGGUGGCAGAUUAACUAGAAAAGAUUUAAAACCCUAUAGUGUGCCAUAUCACUGUUUUUCUGCAAAAAAGCCAUCAUGGUGUUAAGAUUAAGGAAGCUUAUUCUGUCGAUUUUUUACCCAAGCGGUAGAUGAUGCCUGCAACAUAAUGGAGUCUCAAGUAAGAUGAGAGUCAUCUCUACAUUCCAUGUGAAUCAUAUUUGAGACAAUGUACAUAAUUUUACUGUCUUCUUGUCUCAACUGUUGCUUGCUAUCUGAUGCAUGGCAUCUCUUUGUGGUUUUGGAUGGAUAUAUUCUGCAAUUUUGCACUGUUCCUUACAUGGAUUUGUUUUACUUUUGGAACAGGUGAAGAGCUAUCUAAAAAGCAAGCUGCCCAGGAAGCAACUAUCAAGAAACUAAGGACACAGGCAUGCAAUUAGAUUCUUUCUUCUCAUUUUUUUUUCAAAUCAUCAUUAACAUUUUGUCAAAUCAUUGACAUUCUUGCUUAUAGAAUACUAAUUUUAAUGUUAUUUUCUGAUCUGUUUUGUUGGAGCCAGAUCAGAGAGUUUGAGGAAGAGAAGCAAAGGCUCAACUCGAAGUUUCAGGUAGUUGAGUGAUUAAUCUGUACGCUCAGUAGAUGAUAUUUAGUAAAUUAUAUUCUGGAAAAAUUUUCCUCCCAUAUAUAUAUAUAUAUAUAUAUAUAUAUAUAUAUAUCUCUAUAUUAGUAAUAAUAGUGAAGAACUAUCUAAAAAGCAAGCUGCCCAAGAAGCAACUAUCAGGAAACUAAGGGCACAGAUCAGGGAGUUUGAGGAAGAAAAGCAAAGGCUCAACUCAAAGCUUCUUACUACUACUAUAUAUAUAUAUAUAUAUAUAUAUAUAUAUAUAUUCCUCAUAAUUUGAAAUAAUGAAUUUGUUUCGAUUUAAAUGAGGUUUUAUGAACUGUAAGUUGUUCUAUGUGAGAGAAUGCUUUUUUUGUCUCUUGAUGUCUUCGAGAUCAAUAGUUAAUUAUAACUUUCUCUACAAUAAUGUCGACCAGGCAAGACAGACUGGAUCCUAAGAUUCAUUUUAGGAAUAUCCUACAAUCCUAUGUUGGAUAUCUCAUAUUCCUCUUGAACCCAUCGUGGAGCUCAUGCACCUACUCCAAUAUGCCUUUUGAGCUUUCUUAAACUUAUAACUAGAAAUUGCUAUUAUGUUUACAUAUAAUCACUUUAAACUUGAGUAUAAAGUAACCUUAUUUUUCCUCUCCUGAAUCUAGAUGCUACCAAUAUUAUGAAAGUAAUAUCAUUAAAUAAACUUUUAAAUUUUACAUCGACUUUUAUGGUGAAUUGAAUUAAAUGCUUCUUCAGCAGUGCUGUGUUUUUCAAGAUUUAAGGAUCAUUAUUUCUCUAAACUUGCCACGGUUUUUGCUCCCUGCGCAUCUAAAGUUAAGAUAUGGAAGCAGCAUGAUUCUGUUAUUGGUUUCAAGAUUCAUGAAGAUGUAUAUCAGGGAACUGGAGUUAUAAGAUACAGAGGCACAUAUUAAGUUUCUAAAAUUUGAAGAGUUCCAAGGGAAAGCUUCAUUCAAAUUUCAAUAAACUUUGGUAUGUGUUUGUUUAUCUUUUGAAAGUUUCUAAACGAUGAUCCUUUGAUUCUUUGAAUCCCAGCUUUAUCUUCUGAAAUUUCCAUUUUUAUUUUAGAAUGCAUGUGGUAGAAGCCUUUUUGUCCAUUUAAAUCUGUCUGUAUUAGGGUGCAUGUGUAGUUCAGAUUUUGUUCAACAUAACUAUUAAUUUUGACAUUACAGGCUUCAAUACCACUUUUGCUUUACAUGCAAUUUUUAAUUAUUCAUUCAUGGGUUAUUCUAGGUGGAGGAGUCAAAGGUGGAGAGUAUUAAAAGAGACAAGGCAGCAACUGAAAAGUUGCUGCAAGAAACCCUAGAGAGAAAUCUAGCAGAACUUGCUUCUCAGAAGGAAUUUUAUACCAAUGCACUCAAUGCAGCCAAGGAGGCUGAAGCAUUAGCAGAGGCACGGGCCAACAGUGAAGCCAGAGCAGAACUUGAGAAUCGUUUGAGGGAGGGUAGUGAACGUGAAGCUAUGCUGGUUCAAACACUUGAGGAGCUGAGGCAAGCUCUGAGCAGAGCAGAGCAACAGGUACUUUUUGAACCCAGUUAUCUCUGUUUAUCUGUUACUAGGACCUGUUAUGCAUUUGUAUGGAGAAUUUGUAGUUUUUCUGUAGUUUGUUUAGACCUAGUUUUGACCCAUGUUUUUCCACUAACCCUAUCUUCUAUGUUAAAUUAAUCUGUCAUGGAGAGUAACUCAUUUACAACUGGGUCAACUAUUGCAGGCAGCUUUCCGGGAAGAAAUGCUUAGAAGGGAUAUUGAUGAUCUUCAAAAGCGCUAUCAAGUGUGUGAUACUUUGUCUCUCUUUCUUUUAAAUGCUUCUAUUUAGUUAUGACACGGUUUUCAAGGAUUCGAGCUUUAAUUAGAUUAGCUGAUAUCCAGGCAAGUGAGCUUCGUUACAAUGAGUUGAUCACACAAGUUCCUGACUCAACUAGGCCACUUCUGAGGCAGAUAGAAGCAAUGCAGGUUACAUAUUUUGAAAUAUUUUGCUUGUUUCUUGUCUUGGAGGCACCUUUUUUGCUUGCAUGAUCAGCAUGGUGCAGAGAUUGUUUCAUCAACAUUGAAAUAAAUGAUUCUCUAGUUCUUCAAAUUUACAUUUAAAGUUCACUUAUUAGUGUUUUGGAAUUUUCAAUUUUAAUAGGAGACAACUUCCAGAAGAGCAGAAGCCUGGGCUGGUGUAGAGAGAGCCCUAAACUCUCGCUUGCAGGUUGUUAUCUCUCAGAGAAAUUGUUCAUUGCUCAGUUCCUUCUUUCCUGCCUUUUCCUUUCAUUGCUGCCACAUUAAGGAAAAUGUGCAAAAAUCUAUUUUUGAAGCAGUAGUAACUAGGAAGCAAUGUAUGGCGAGAAUGCCCCAAUAUGGGUACACAACGAUAUGAGAGAAUGACCGUUGAAAUUUAUGUUGAAAUAUUUAGAAACCUUGGAAAACUGGUUUUUGGUGGUUUUCCACAAGUUUUUCUGCUUUCCUCCAUAGUUUGGGACCACCUUUUGACUGAUUUUUUCAUAAUUAUUUUCUGCAAGGAAUUUUCCUGUUGGAUUUGAACCUGAUCAAAUUAGCUUCCAACCUGGUGUCCCAGGAAGAACCUAGUUGCAUGGGAAACACAUGUCCAGCAACUAUGGUUUCUAAUCAGUAGUCACUUGAAUUGACAGGAGGCGGAAGCCAAAGCUGCGGCUGCAGAGGAAAGGGAGCGAGCACUGAAUGAACGUCUAUCUCAAAGUCUAUCUCGAAUUGCAGUUUUAGAAACUCAGGUUCUUUUUUCCCCUGUCCACUUUCUUCGAUUGUGAAAGUGCUGGAGCUAAGCAUUGAUCAACCAAUGAUGGGACUUUUCAGAUCACUUGUCUUAGAAUGGAACAAACACAGCUUAGCCGAUCACUUGAAAAGGAGAGACAGAGGGCAUCUGAAAGCAGACAAGAAUAUCUUGCUGCAAUGGAGGAAGCUGCAACUCAAGAGGGUCGGGCCAAACAGAUUGAAGAUGAAAUUAAGGUGCUUAGAAGUAAACACAAAACAGAGUUGAAAGAAGAAGUGAGACACAGAGAACUUCUGGAGACGGUAACAUUUGGCUGUCGCUUGUCAAUUAUAUGCAUCGUUUUUCCAUCAAAUAUAAAAUCGUUUAACAUGGCACUUCUCUUUUUGUAUUAAAAGCACACUGGCUUCAAUAAUUUGUAUUUGCUUAUUUGACCAAUAUUGGCCAAAACUCUUUUGUUAUUGGACUCACUUAGUUAAGAUGUAUGCAUGCUGAUGGUUCUUUUCUUAUUGACCAAACUUUCUAUCUGCUAUCAGAUGAUGCAUUUUGUUGGAAAAUAAGAAGAUUGAAUUUUAUAAUUGGCAAUUUAUUCAGCUAAUUAUAUGUAGUAUUCAGCUUGAAAUUUAUUCAGUUGUUAUAUUGCUAACUUUCACCUUCUUGGAAUCCCUUCUCCUGAUUUCUGGCUAUAAUUCCUUAUUUCUCUAAUUUUGCCAACCAUUACAUACAUCAUAGCCUGAUACUGAAGCUUUCUCUAGCUUUUUCAUUGCACAUGAUCAUACCACAAAAAUCAGUUCAGUUUCAUUCUUUAUUAGUGUUGUUCCGUAGUUCUUUUAAAAAUGUGUAUAUUAAACUUUUCCAUACCACAUUAUCAUAACUUCAACAAAGUUUUCAUCUCCCAGCGAUCAUGUGCAUGCAUCCACAUUAUUUUGAAGUGUCCUUAAACUUCAAAAUAUACCUUGAUCCACAAAAAUUGAAGGUGUUUGUGGUUGACUAGAUGGUUGUGAGGUGGCGCCAAUCAUUGCACGUGUGAGUUUAAUUUAAUGUUUAUAAAUGACAGCCGUUUCUUUUAUUUGAACUUGUGCUAUUUUGUAGGAGCUUAAAAGGGAGAGAACCGCCAGAUCAGAACUGGAAAAAAUUGCUGCUCGUGAAAUUCCUGUUAUUGCCAAUCGUGAAAUUCCUAUUAACCCUUUCGUUGAAAAUGGUUAAUAGAUUCUACACCUUGUCCAAACUAUAAUAGAAUUUUUUUUUUUUAACUCCUCUAACCCAUUUGGGUUUUGUUCAUUUCCUUCUUUUAUUUGCAGGAAAUGCCCUCAACUGUAAGCUUUCAAGUGCUAGGAGUCUGAGUAGAUUGGAAGAAAGUCUUUUCUUGCAAGCAUCUCUGGACUCAUCUGACAACUUUUUUUCUGAAAAGAGAACAUCUGGGGAAACAAGCAUGUCCCCUUAUUUCCUAAAGAGCAUGACUCCAAGUGCUUUCGAAGCAGCACUUCGUCAGAAGGAUGGUGAACUUUCAUCAUAUAUGUCACGCUUGGUAUGGAAAACGUUUCCUUUGUGUUUGUUACUGCCUUGGCUUUGUUUGAUCCUAUUUUUUUUAAUUCUCUGCAAGCUCAGUGAAUUCUGUGCUUUGUGCAUAUUUUAAUCUUUCCCCAUGGUGAAACUAUUUCCAAAUUCUGAACCUCUGGCUGCAUUGAUCUCACCAUUUCUAAUUUUGCUUGAAUAGGUCUCAUUGGAAUCUAUUCGUGAUUCUCUCUCUGAGGAACUGGUAAAGAUGACAGAGCAGGUAAAAUUCAUACAGUGAAUGUCCUGGUUUUCAUGGAUAUUUUCUGUCUUGUAUGAUGCACAACAAUAAUGCUGGAAUUUGGCUUCUGUCUAGUGUGAAAAGCUGCAAGCAGAAGCAAUUGUUUUGCCUGGCUUACAAGCAGAGCUGGAAGCCUUAAGGCGAAGACACUCUUCUGCACUGGAACUAAUGGGUGAACGUGAUGAAGAGGUUUGCAUCUCUCUUGCACUAUUUAUAUAUGUGUUCACUUACAAAAUUGUGCAACUACACCUGUAUAAAUCAACUUUAUCACCUAGAUUUUUUGUUAAAUGUUAUGUCAUUCAGUUCCUUAUUACAAGCCUCUUCUUCGCCAGGCAUAGAUGCUACUUUUAUGUGGGUGUGGUACACAAUUAAAAAUUAUGAUAUAUUGUUAUUGUUUUUUUUCUAGAUCAGGUCUCAGCCGCCUAACUUAAUAGAUGUUUCAUGUUCCUGGAAAGGAUUUAAGUAGUUCUGAAAUACAUGCUGAUUUGAUAUCUACUAUUUAUUGGUGAAUGAGAAUUACCAGAUGUACAAUAUGGAGAAUAGAGAAUUUGCAUUUAUAUGGAUGAUUUGCCAGAAGCUAUCUCCAGUUGAUUGAAUUCUUCACUUGUCUGUAAAAUUUAAUGAAAUUUUCUUCAGUCAUAAUGAUAGUUGUGAAAAGUUUAUGUUACAUACAUGAAUCAUCUGGAAAAUGUCGAAGUUUCUAGGGAGUACGGUUUUUGGAGUUUGCAUCUGGAGUUUUGAGUCCCUCUGAUGGACGAGUCUAAGAAUUUGGUAUGGUUAAUGUGGAAUAAUAUAUGACUGCUUACAUGCAAUGUGAUACAUAUCUUCUGUCUGUUCAUAAUACCUAUGCUUUAUCAAGUUUAUUCAACACUUCAAGGGACAAAUUGUACUGGAAUUCUGAAUGCUUCUAUUCAGUGCCAUAAUAUAUUCAAUUUAGCAUGUCUUUUGUGGUUGAUGGGACUCUUCCAUUUGCUUUAUGAAACAUGCAUAAUGAGUCCUAAGUUCUUAAGAAAUUGACAUCCUAUUGUAGUUGGAGGAACUCCGAGCUGACAUUGUUGACAUGAAAGAGAUGUACAAAGAGCAAGUUGAUUUGCUUGUGAACAGGGUAUAUCUGCUUCACCAGUGAUGUUAGUUAUUGUGUUAUACUAUUCUGAUCUUAACUUUAUCUGAGGUGCAUUCUGAUCUUAAUUUUCAUCCAUCUCUUUUCUCAAGCAGAUUCAGAUGUUAAGUUCUUCAGCUGGUGCAGAUUAAUCAACCAUUGGCUGCUUUUGCUGAUUAAAAUUUAGCAGCGCCAUGGUAUGAACCAACUAGAUUAAUCUGUUUUGUUAUUUGGUUGAGCGUAUUCUUUAUAUUUGCUGGUUCGAAUUUGUAGCCACAUUCACACUAACAGCUCUUGGAAAAGUUCUUUCUUCAGCCUUGAGAAUUAUAUUCCUAGGUAGGACGCAAUGCCAUAUGCUGAAAUGGACAUGAGAUUCACUUCUUCCUUCUUGUCAUAUGACUGAUGAUUGUAUACCUAACCUAUUUGUAAAUGUCUCCAGAUCUUCACUACAUGGGUUUUUACCAUUGCAUAUGAUGCAUAAACAAAAAUGCAGAUCUGCUUCAUAAAUUUAAAGUUUGUUACUUUAUGCUUGUGGCUAGUUUACAUGAUCAGGUUGGUGCUUGGUUUGUACUGCACAUGAGAUAGAUAUACUCGUUAUUUGAACUGUAUGUGUGUUGGUAGAAUAAACAAACUUUAUGCCCUAAGUAUUUUUGGUAAUAUAGAUCACCAUACUUCAUUUAUAAAAAAAUAGAGAUCACCGUAUAUGAUGCAAGAAAGGUGGACUGUGGAAGUUAUUUUUUCUCUUCAGAAGAUAAUGAAGAAAUACAAAGAAAAGAAACAAAAUUUUCGAAUGAUGUUUAUUAAUUUAGAGAAAGUAUAUCACCGAGUGGAUGCUAGAAAAAAAGAAGUUUUCAUUAGUUAUAUUAAUAUGAUUAAAUAUAUGUAUAAAUGAGAAGUUGUUAGUGUGAGAUCUAUGGGUGGUGAUAGUAGUGAGUUUUUAAUUGUUUAUAUCAAGAAUUUACUCUUAAAUCUUUUUUUUGGGGGGCUAGUUAUGGAUAGGCUUACUAGAUAUAUCUAAAAUGAUAUUUUUUGAUGCAUGCUAUUUAUCAAUGAUGUAGUUUUAUUGGAUGAAACUAAGAUUGGAGUUACUAGAAAGUUGAAAUCAUAGAGAAGUGCAUUAUAAUGACCCAAGUUUCAAGUUAAAUAAGAUCAAGAUAGAAUAUAUGGAAUGUAGUUUUAGUAAAAUUAGAAAUAAAGAUCAAGGUGGAGUAAAAAUUAAGAAUCAUGAAGCUUUUAAAAGUAAUUAUUAAGUUUUUAAGAGUGAUCACUUAGGUUUUUACAAUCAGUUAUUCAUAAAGAAUAGGAGAUUGAAGAGGAUGUUAUUCAUGGGAUUAAAGUGAGAUUGUUAAAUAGAGAGGUACAACUAGAAUGUUAUGUAACUAUAGGAUACCUGCCAAGUUUUUUUAAAAAAAUGAUAUUAUAGUUAUAUAACAAACUAUACUUUAUGGUAUAAAAUAUUGAAUAAUUAAAAAAUUAUGUGCAUAAAAGGAGUAUGACCAAAAUGGCAGUGUUGAGAUGGAUGUAUACUAAUAGAAGACAGCAUAAGAAAUGAAGUAAUUCGUCAAACGGUAAAGAUAGUACCAAUUAAGGCUAAGCUGAUAGGAGGAUGAUUUAAAUGAUUUAGACAAAUACAUGUAUAAGAAAAGAGAGAAAAAACGGAUGUCGCCAAAAAUUAGAUGGGAUGAAAUAAUAAGGAUCUAAUCACAUAUAACUAACUGAUUUGAGCGGCUUGGUAUGCUGCGAUCUGGCACCAUUAUUUUCCUCGUGUGAAAUAAUAAGGUUCAUGCAUGACGGUCGUGUUUGAUGUCAGAUGGCAUUAGCUUUAUAGGUUCCAGUGGGCCUUUUUGAUUCGAAUCCUUUCCAGUUCUUAUUAGUUCGCUGGACCUACGUCCGUUCACAAGGGUUUGGGUGGCUGGACAAAAUGGCGUGCGAGUGAACCGGAUUUUAAAAAUCCAGAUAAUCCUAGGACGUAAACGGCGGAUAAAUGAACAAAAACGUGGUAUGGCUAGGAACGGAAUUGUACGCACCGAUAUAUCACCAGCCCAUGAAUCGAUUUAACUAUAUAUUUAAUAGGUGAAAUUAAUUAAUUAAUUUCUGUUGCCAAAGAACAAUGCGACAGCAAAGAACUAGCCCAUCUACCAUGUUUUUUUUUUUUACCCGAGAGCCAGUCAGAUAUGGAGAUGUGCUUCACCUCAGCUUGACUAGAGGCAGAUGUGGGCGUCCAUUGAGAAGUUUCUACGACAUUUAGAGGUCUCGGUUCGGAGGUCUGUACGGGAGGAGAGGGAGACUCGUGAUACCUACCUGGCCUAUCAUUAUUGGCUGAAGAGGAAUACAUGGGUUUUCGACGGUGAUAGCCCCCAUCCGAGGGUGGUGGCGGACCGAGCUCUACGGCAUGCGGAGGUCACCGGCACUAUUGAGGCUUCACCUACUGGGUUGGACAGAGACAUUUGUGGCCCUCAUUCUACUCUUGCAGCGUCUAGGACGAUAAUGGUAUUCUGGGUGCCCCCAUCUCCUGACUUUCUCAAGGUGAACUUCGAUGGCAGUGUAGCAACAGACGGGAGCUACGGAGGUGUGAGAUUUAUCAUCAGGGAUCAUGACGCCAGACUUAUAGCGGCAAGUGGGCAGAGGAUUUUUGACUUGUCAGUGGUGACCACUAAGCUUUGGGCGAUCUGGGAGGGUGUCUCCUAUGCGAGGCGGGUACUAUGUGCGGGUCGCAUCCUUAUCGAGGGGGACUCGAUCACCUCCGACCAAGGUGAUCGAGUGGAUCCGAAAAGAGGGAUGCUCAGUUGAGGACCGGCCGCUGCUCCACGAUAUUCGCAUGGGAUUGGAGGAGGCUGACUCCUACUAAGCCACGCAUGUAUAUUGGGAGGCGAACGAUGCUGCAAAUUAGGUUGCUUUCUUCGCGGUUCAUCACUUGGGAGGCUUUUUCUGGAUAGACUACGGGACUGUGCCUAUGCCUUUGCGCAUCAUUUUUAUUUUUUAAUUUUAUUGGCCGUUUUCACACUCGUCAUGUGUGAGCUGCUGGUGUAUACAAAAAAACAAAAAAAAAAAGCUCUGUUAUUUAUAAAAAAAAAAACAACUCCGUUGUUUGAUUCUUCUAAUGUUUCCCCACCGCUGCCCAUUCAUGUCCUGCACCCGCAGGCCCCAUGCAUGUCUCGUGCCAAUCAUUAUCCCGACGACACGCGUCCAGCGUACGAAGAAAACCCCUCAACUCCGUCGAAAUUAAGGACUUUUCCACCUCGAAUAAAGGAAACGCGGUCUCGCAACCAUCGAGGGUCGCUCCGGCUGCUAUAGUCUAACCCUUCCUCCGGCUCCUCUCGCCCCCACCGCAACCCACGUUUAGACCCCCGCGCCGCCCCCCCCCCCCCCCCUCCCGAAUCGCGAGGGUGAAAGGCCACGAAAGAUCAGGCCUCCUCCGACUCCGAUUCCAAUUUCCAGAAAGAAAAGAGGAUCGAAGGAAAAAAAAGGGUACAGUGAGAGAGAGAGUAGCUCUCGCCCGGGUUCUCGGCAAGAGAAUAGAAGUUUUCUUUUAGUCAUCAGUUGCCAGCUCAAAAGGGUAUCUCCAUGGAUCGCACGACGAGCCCCCGCCGUCCUAGGUAUCUCUCUCAUUACAUCUUUUCUUUUCCUUAUAUUUUUUUAUUUUUUUCUCUUAUUUUAGUUCUUCUUUUUAUUGUAUUCUAUUCGAGAACCCGGAGAUCGAGCCACAGUGGUCGAUUGGUUGGUUUACUAUAACUAUUAUUGUCAUCAUCUAGCCAACUCUUAUUUAGAUGUCUUUACCACUGAUUGGAGUGUGGACUUGUUUUAGAUUUCUGAUAGACGGAGUAGGCGAUCCGAGAUGCGGAUAAAUCCCAAUUCAACAAUCCACAAGCGCACGUCCUCCAGAGAUUUCACGAGCGCCGUCGAUCGCAGCGAUUUCAGCUCAGGUUCGCAUGCAUUCACCCCACGAUCACUUGGAUGGAUUCAUAUGGUUAAGAUCAAUUUUCCAAAGUUAAUAUUUUUCUAUGAGUUUUUGUAAUCAGGCCGUCUAUUGAAUGCCAUGGGGGAAACUACAACUAAUCCUUCGUGGAAGCUCUCCUUUCCUCACAUUUGCGUCGCAAUCAUUUCGUCCUUCUUGUUUGGUUACCACCUCGGGUACGUGUUGAUUGCUGAGAUUUCCUUUGUUCUUCUUUGCAAGCUCUGGUUUUGAGUGCAGAAAAGUAAAUAAAGUUGCGAUCUUGGUUGGAUUCUGUGCUACAGAGUCGUGAAUGAGCCGCUCGAGAGCAUUUCUGCAGAUCUUGGUUUUGCAGGGAAUGCCUUGGAGGAAGGUACUGGCAAUUUGUAGAGAUCUUCAGAUCUCUGUAAUAUAUGAUUGGCUGGUUGUUUUGAAUUUCUGAUAAUGUAGAUUGAGUGGUGGAGUUGAAUGCAGGACUUGUUGUUAGCAUGAGUCUGGGUGGUGCCUUCAUUGGGUGCUUGUUUAGUGGUUGGAUUGCUGAUAGUUUUGGGCGCCGUAGGGCUUUCCAGCUCACUGCAUUGCCUAUGAUAAUUGGAACUUCUAUCAGGUAAUCUGAUUGCACUUUAAAGGUUCCUUGCGCAUAAUUCUUAUCCCCUUCUUAUUCAAUGUAUAUCUGUGUUGAAAAUUUUAUGCUUUGGGAUCGGUAACAAACUCAUUGUCUAAUUGGUUUGGUGGAGCAGCAGUCCUGUGAGGUCCUAUGCCUGGGUAAAGAAGCCCUUCUUUUAAUAUAAAUCUUAGACCAUUUAUGUAUCAUUUCAAUAUCCUGACUUCCUUUUGAUUUAGUAGGCACCCAUCUCUUUUUCCAUAUACUGUAGAGUUCUCCAUGGUUGCUCAAGGAAACAAUUUAUCAGUAGUAUACUAUUUAAUCUUGCAUUUACUAUAAUACAAGCUGUGUUGCUGUCAGAGAAAAAAGGAAAGAAAACAACUGUUUUGUACUUUUGGAAUUGUAAUCAAAAUAUUUUUUGUGGAACCAUCUAACUGUGUCUUUAUUGAUAUAUGCAUUUGCAGUGCAUCAGCGGCCAGUCUGCAGGGUAUGCUUUUUGGUAGAUUUUUAGUUGGAAUAGGGAUGGGUAUAGGUCCGCCUGUUGCUUCUCUUUAUGUGACAGAGGUAUAGAAGAUCAUUGAACUCCAAUUUUAUGAAUGGCGAGCAGUAUCGUCUGGUUCAAAUAGUUUCCUAAUCUCUAUUAUUUAUUUCUUUUCACUGUCAAAAUGGUCAGGUUUCUCCUUCUUUUGUUCGGGGCACUUAUGGAAGUUUUAUUCAGAUUGCAACAUGUCUUGGACUCAUAGGUGCUCUUUUUAUUGGAAUCCCAGUUAAGGAAGUUGAAGGAUGGUAAGGAACAUGCCUUAACUUAGAUUACUGUUAUAUACCUAUAUUUGAAUAUCAACUCUUUGAUCACAACUUUCCUAACUCGUAUCCCAUUCUGCGUAUUCUAAUAGGUGGCGAGUCUGCUUUUGGGUAUCCGUCAUUCCUGGUGCUCUACUUGCACUUUGCAUGGAAUGUUGCGCCGAAAGUCCUCAUUGGCUCUAUAAGGUCCUUCAGCUUUAUCUUAACUCUAAUUUCUUAAGAUAGGCUUUUAUCUUGUGGAACAUCUAGUCAUAUUUGUGAUCAUAACUGUUUAGCCUUUAGGGCAUGCACCAUAAAUCUUCAUAGGAAUGCCCUUGGUCUGCAGGGGAUAUCAUAGUUACAGCUUUGCAGGCUUAGAGCUCUAUAUGUACAACUUGCCUGCCAUGCUGUAUACUCAAAUCCCUUGCAUUUUUUUGCUGUCACUAUAAUAUAAUUUCUAUAGCACGUUAGUGCAUUUAUAGAUUAAUAGUUAGUUCUUCUGGGUUAUUAUGAAGAACUAUAAUUAUUCAGAAGCUAUUAAUGUUGUCACUGAAUACAACAGCAUAUUUUUAGCUAUUGUUUGACAACCAUUGAGUAAGAGUUUCUCUCCUUUUAAUGCUGUAUAGCAUGGCAAAAUUGUCGAAGCUGAAGCUGAAUUUGAAAGACUGUUGGGAGGACCCCAUGUUAAACCAGCAAUGACAGAAUUAUUACGUUCAGACAGAGGGGAUGAUGUAGACAUAAGUUUUCUAGAAUUGCUUCAUGGUCGCCAUUUCAGAGGUAUUCAUUCAUUGCAUAGAUCCUUUCAUAUAUAAUCUUGUUUCAUGUUUAGUUAUUAUCGUAUUAGUUCAAGUAAUUUUGUUUUUCCUAAGAAGUUAUGUUUAUUUUAAGUGUUUUUUUCCAGUUGUUUUUAUCGGAUCAACGCUAUUUGCUUUACAACAGCUAUCCGGCAUAAAUGCUGUAUUCUAUUUCUCUUCGACCGUCUUUAAAAGUGCAGGGGUGCCCUCAGACAUUGCCAAUAUGUGUGUAGGAUUUGCAAAUUUAUCAGGUAGAUUUGACUUCCUUUAAGUUAUGCAAAUGAUUUCAACUCAAGGAAUGAAGGUUCUCCAUUACUUUUGUUUAUCCAGGGUCAAUAAUUGCGAUGGUUUUGAUGGAUAAACUAGGAAGAAAGAUGCUACUUUUUGGGAGCUUUAUGGGCAUGGUAAACUAUUUAUUGAAGAGAUGCUGUUAAUAGACUAGUCAUUGAUCUAUAGUAAGAUCUCUUAUGCCGAUUGAUGAUGUAUAUUUUUGAAUUAGGCUGCGUCAAUGGGAGUUCAGGCCACCGCAGCUAGUAUUUACAUUCCUAUCUCUGGGGCUUUAUACUUAUCAGUCGGUGGAAUGUUGUCGUAAGCACUAAACACUCAUCUUAUCUGGGUUUAGUUGCUGCUUAUAUGUUAGAAAAUGAAAUUCAAUUACAUAUAAAUUUUGAUGGUACUCCGAACAGUGGCUUUGGCUCUAUAAUUACAUGUAAUACAUUAUGCACACGGGCAGAUAUGACAAGGACUGUAUGAUUGAAAUGCUCUUGCAUAGAUAAAUUAAACCCAUCCAAGACAUCCUUGAUCUAAUCCUGGUAUUUGCUGCAAUGCUUCUGAAAUCCUAGUAUUUCAGAUUGUUUGUCAUUAUCGUGUCUAUUCCAGUAUAUCGGGUAUUAAUAUUUGUUGGAUUUGGCUAUGAGAUAUGUUAAAUACUAGGGGUGGUAAUUUAUGACUCCACCAGCCAACCCAACCCACAAUUGACCUGAGAUAAGCAGAUUCAGAUUCGGUAGUUCUGGAUCAUAAACAGUUUGACCCAACUAAACUCAUUCAAAUGUUUCAUGUUCAUGCUUAAAAUCUUGACGCAUUUACCCAUUUUCACCUGUUGAAUAAUUGGGCAGGGUCGACAAAGGUUACACCCAAUAUGUUUAACCUAUUUAACACAUUUAAGCCAUGUAAGGCCUGUCUAACUUGUUUCAAACCCAUUUAACCAGUUUAACCUAAUCCGGCUUGUUUAUUAAUUGGGUUAUGCGAGUCAGGUAGUUACCUGUUUAAGAAAGAGUUUAGGUUCAUUUUUGGAUCUGACCCAUUUAAUAGACGGGUUGGGUUCAAGUUGAUAGGUAUCUGACUAGACUCGUAUUCGAGUCGACUUGACCUGUUGCCUCCCCUAUUUAAUGUUUUCUUCUUGGCUACCUCCAAGGAUGAAGGGAGGAUUUUUCGCCAUUUUUAAUGAUUAAUGACUUUGAUAAUGAACCCGACGGAUGUCUGAUUUUAGAGUUUGUAAUGUUCAUGUUAUUUUAUAGCAUAUAGAUUAUAUAUGAUGGCUCGUUAUGCUCUAUGUAUUUUAGAUUUGUGUGUAUUACCAUAAUAUAACCAUAAUCAUGUCCUAUUUUUCAAGAUUGUUCAUAUUUGCAUAUCUGUAUUGUGCAUCUCCAUAUGUUGCAUUUGCAUCUGUGCUUCAUAGAAAUAAAGUAUGGUUCAGUGGUUUAAUAUAAAAGAAAAAUGAUUGAGAUUCCUCUCUCCGCAUCCCCGCCCCCUCACCCGCUCAGGGCCUUUCCUUCCCUCUCCUCCCUAGCCAUCCCUUCUCUAAUGCUAUGAGAUUCCACCCCUCUCUAUCUCGCAGUUGCUUGGAUGCAAACCCUCUCUCCCCAUUUUUACUUGGGUUCACCUACUCUCCCAGGAGCACAAUCAGUGAGAUAAGAUGGCUAUAGAUCACGGCCCUCCGCGACCCUAGUACCUUUGGUGGAGACACUCUAGCCUCUCAUAAUUUCCGCAACAUCCUUUUCUUGCAGCAGUGUUUCCUGAAUCUGCAACUCUGAAUCUCCUAGGGAUUUCAACGAUUGUACCUCUGUCAUCCAUUGCCUUUAUAAUAUAUUUUGUAAAUUUUCCUAGUGCAAAUUCAUAGAGUUGUGUAUCUGAUCCAGAUUGAGCAUCCAGGGUUUGGUUCUUUCAUUGCUAUGCCUGAUUCAUUCUAGCAUUCUUCUGCAAGAAAGUUUAUUUAUCUAUCAUUUGGGUGUUUGAAAUGAAAAUUUACAUCCUAGGUAAUUCUUAGUUUUGAAUCUAUUUUUAGUCCUCACUUUAGUCCACGUUAUAUUCAUGGUGAUGUCUAAUCCUGUAAGUGGUGCUUCACUUUCUAACAUUCUGAAAACUAAUGCCAUAGCAGAUUAUCUUGUAGAUUUUUUUUUAAUUUAUAAAAAUGGCUAGAUUAACCACAAGGUGCAUUAAUGGGCCUUGUUUACUGCUUCACCUCGUUGGGCCAAGCCGCUGGUAAAAGAAUGACUCACAGACCUACACCCAAGACCUUAAAAAGCAUACAGCAAAACCACCUAGACACUGAGCCCAACCCAGUAGAAGUUGUGGAAUAUCUUGUAGAUGAAUAUUUGUGUCAAAAAUCAUGAUAAACAGUUUUUGUUUAUUGAUAUGUGGAGGUUUGUGAAUUUAAAAGUUUGAAGGUAUUUGUCUCAGUCUUUGAUCAUUUCCUUAAUUAUAGUGAGCUUCAUCAAUUUGUCUAUUACCACAUCCAUUUGUAUAUCUGUCUCUCUUCUUCAAACACUUUUGCCCCCUUUCUUUAGGUAUGUACGUCAUUUGUUAGCCUCAUCAUCUUAUAUUAAGAACCAGUUCUAUAUGAUGUUGUUGCUGCUCUCGUUACACAUCAUCACAUUAAGUGGUUCUUUUGAUUUUCAUCUUAUGCAUUCACUGCUACAUUUUCUGUUCCUUGUAUGAACCACCUUAUUAGAAUGUCCAUUUCUGCAUGUUCAUCUCGUUUACACGCAUGUUAUGGGCAUGAACUACCUUAUUGCCCACUGUUGCAGCUCAUGGAGCAUGCUGCAUAUGUGGUCUCUUUAUUUCUUUCUUUAUUCCAUAUCUCAACCAACGGGUCACAUUUAUUUGUGUUGUGUCCUAAAUAGAUCGAAGCAUAAUCAAUAGACUGCAGUUAGUGAACGUUAUACAAUUGACACUACCAAAAUCAACCCUUUGAAUUGGUGUUCAGUUGUUUGCCAAGGUAACUGUAAGCAGAAGGGAGCAUGAUAGGACCCAAAAAAGACCAAUCUGCACAUAUGAAACGUACUCGAUUUCAUAUGACAGGUGUUAUCAUUCUUCUCCUAUAGAAAGUUGUAUUCCAUAGACAAUGACUUCUAGAAGUAAUCCCUCUCAAUCAUUGGUGGUGGUUGAAGCAACACACUUAUAUGGGUUUGAGCUCAAAUUGCAGUCCAUAUCAAGGGUUGAGUUAUUUGUGCACUGGUGCUUUGCUGGCCAGCCACAGUAUUUACUGUCANNNNNNNNNNNNNNNNNNNNACUAUUCUAUCCCUUUUUAUAUAAAAAAAAAUUUGGGGUUAUUACAUUUACCAUGCCAUGCUGGUGAUUGCUACACACCGGGAUUGUGGCAUGACAAUAUCCAGAACACAACUGAUACCAUGCCAGUAAGCCAUUGUUGCGGUAGAUGCUUUCCUAUAUCAACCAUUCUGACUGGCAGUUUAGUCCAUAAUUUGUGUAGUCUUUCUUUAUUGGGUUCAGCCGUCAUUCAAAUUGUCAUCUUGACUCGUCCUCAACUUUAAUUUACAACUAAAUUCCUGAGACUGCGCUAAGAGCCUCUUGCUGAGCAAUAACUGGUUGUUAAUUUAUAUCAAGGAUAAAGCAGCGGGUGGUCAACUCUUCUACUGGUGCAUUCCUUUUUCAUCUAGCAAUCUGAGUUCUUUAACAGUUGGUCCUCUUUUGUGUCACUAAAAGCUCAUACAUAUCUUGACUUUGGUAAUUAGUGUUAAAAAAAAGUGGAGAGUGAGUCUUGAAGAGAUGGUGAUUGAGAAUAAGAGGUAGGACUAAUAUAAAGCGUUGCACUCAAUUUUCUAUGGCUAUGUGAAUACUUUUUUCAAGAUUUUACUAGUAGCAUAAUGACAAGUUUUAUUGCUUCCUAGGUCAGCUUAUUCCAUAUAUAGUUAAUGGGUGACUUGGUAUGAAUCUAAUUACUUCUUCUUGCAGAUUUGUCCUGUCAUUUGCAUUGGGAGCUGGCCCAGUCCCAGGUCUGCUUUUACCAGAAAUUUUCCCCAGCAGAAUCCGAGCAAAGGCUAUGGCUGUAUGUAUGUGUGUUCAUUGGGUAAGAACUGUGCAGCUUGCCUUAUAUUCCAUAUGAAGAAUAUAUUGUAAAAGAAAAACUAGAUGAAACUUCUGCAGUCCAAUUCUAAGGCAGCAUUUGGUUAUAAACUAUCAGAAUUUUACUCUCCAACAUUUGAUCUAUCUAACCUGAGGUGGAAGUUGGUCGCCAAAAAUGCUUUUCUCCCAGCCAUGCUGUUGAAAAACUUGGUCUAAGUUUUGCCUCACAAAACCGUUUUUGAGUAUGCCAAUAUCUUUUGCUCAUCAUGCCAAGGUACUGAAUGACAUACCAAGUCAAGAACCAGCAACUUCAGUACUAAUCUGGAGAGAAUAGUUACUCUUUGGUUUUAACUCAUGGUUGCAGAGGAUAGUUUUCUUAAUUAUAGCAGUUGUCUAGAAUUUCUUUUUAUCACAAAACUAAUGCAUGCUGUCUUGAUGUUGAUAUGUUCAGGUGUUGAAUUUUUUUGUUGGUUUGCUGUUUUUGCAACUGUUGGAGCAACUGGGGCCACAAGUCCUGUACUCUAUUUUUGCAACAGUUUGCCUCAUAGCAGCAGUUUUUGUGAGGAGGAAUGUGGUAGAAACUAAAGGCAAAUCACUCCAAGAAAUCGAAAUUGCACUCCUCCCACCUGAGCAGAGGUAAAUUCUCUUGCCAAUCCACCUCUAUCAACACCUUUCAGUAAAAUGGAACUAGAAAGAUCAGCUAAUCUUUUUCCUUCUACAUCUUUUACGUAUCAUUAAACUUCCAAGAUCUUUUAAUUUUCUCUUGGAAGUUGAAGUCUAUCUGAGAAUAUGGUCAGUACCUGGGACAACAUCCAAAAAUGCUAAUCGUGAAAAUGAAGUAUAUUGUCGCAUUUACUAAGAAUUUGUCUAUUCAACUAUUACCAGACGUGUGUUCCCUUUGACAUUUUUUUUUUAUGUAGGACAUACUAACUGAUCAUCAUAUAAAACUGUCAAAUUUUCAAAGUGGACAUCAUUUGGUUGUUGCAGAAUAAGUGAACCCAGAAUAAAUGGGUUAACUUAGUCCUAACACAUUUCACCCUGGAGUAAAGUAGUGCAUCCUAUAGGUGGAAUUGUUUACUCCGAGUUACGUGGAAAAAGUAGCUCUACCAACUCUUUAAAAUAUACAUUUUGCCCUCACAAUAGAAUUGUUAUUGUUCUAAUAUUUGGUGGGUUAAUGUGGAAUAAAUAGAAGGAACCUUCAUUCCAUUGUGCGCUCCUUUAACCUUGAAGAAAACACAGCCUCACUAUUCACAAACAGAAGCUGUCUUAUGAAUUUUGUGCUGCAUGUGCUUUAAGUUGGUUCCUCUAUCCACCCAAACAGAGAAAGCAGACCACUAACAAAAAAUAAAGAGGAGCAAAAUUUAGCUGGACCUCACUCUUGAAACACCAAACUCCACCCCCUGUUUCCUCUUUCCCUGUCUUUCCUUCCCUGACCCAUCUCUUUUAAAGCUUUGUACCGAUCACGAUGAUGUAAAUCGUCCCACCAGGCAUCCUUCGAUAGGAAAAAACCAUUACGCAGAUUGCAACAGAAGGCUUACGAAUAGAGGGCUUUGUAUCAUAAAUAAAAUCAUUUCUUUGCACUGGAUAGCUUUUUCAGGAGCCUGCCCAUUUUGGUCUCAGAGAGAAGCGGCUGGCUGGCUGCUCUAGAUCCAAGUACUAUUGGUUCAGUAGUUUCUACUCUUAUCUUAUAAAAUUUAAGAAAAUAUUGAUUCCACACCAUCUUGUAGCCUCAUAUGAUUUUUUUUCUUCUGCCAAUUCCCUCUAGAUAUUGAAGUCUUAUAUUAUGAUGGAUCCAUUUUUGGGUCUUACAAUUAAAUUUUCUGUUGCAGGUAAAGAUAUGCAUCAUACCAUAAGCAUGCUGACAUUUGGGCCGUCUAAUUGCACUAAUCAGUGGUAUUGAUGCCAUGAUAUAAGCAAGCAAAAACAUGAUGCUUGCCUUGGGAUCUGUAAAUAUAAUACUUGCUAUAAGUUUAGGGGCUGGAAAGGGUGUUUCUUUUUGUUGCAUGUGUUCUUCAGUGGAUUGAUUCCAAUUGCAGAUGCAUGAGAUUAUUCGGACUAUUUGAAUGGUUUCCAAUUUUUUCCUUUUUUUCAGUUUUUCUUUUGCCUGCGUGCAUGGUAGAAAAAGAAAAAUGGUUUCUUGCAGUUAUCCUAUGAUUUUAGUGUAUUUAUCCCUCCUGCAAGUUAACAUUUGAUUUGUACCUUUCAAAUCCUUAAACUAUAUAAAGGCUGCUUAGUUUUCUAGUUUUUCAAUUCAAAAUAGAACACUAAUCAUAAUUCGUUAAAACCUUAAAAUAUAUGAAUUACUCUAAUUAGAUUUUAAAAAAUGUUUAAAAUAUGGUGGACUUAAAGAAGAAUGGAUUUUAAUAUUGAUGGGCUUGGGAAUAAUAAUAGCUCUAAUUUGGUUCCUUCUUAUUAGGAAAAGUAGUAGUAUAUAGUAUGUAGGAAGGGGAUUGCUCGUACUAACAGAAAAUAUGAACAGAACCGAUAGGUGAAACAACGUGAACCAAAAGGCAAAGGUAAAAUACGAUGCAUUGGAAGAAAAGGUUAACCAUGAGGCAACUCUUUUCAGUUCUUUGUAGAAUUUAUAUUUUAAUUAAAGUAUUUCAAAUGCUAAAAUCUUUAGCAACAAUCCGCAUCUGCAUACCCAAAAAAUGUCUGCCUACUCCUUGGAUAUUAAGAUCAUUCAAUUUUGAUGAACUUGUUGAAGUACCAGCUUGAAUAUAUAAAUCUUGAACAUAAAAUAUAGAUGCGUAAUUGGCAGGUCAAGUCGGUGAGAUUGCAUCCAUGUAUCAAUACUCAGAUGCAAAGAACACAUCCCAAAUACUAAUAUUUCCUCUAAUAAAGCUGAAGUAUUCAAAGCCCAUGUAGAUCUGUCUCGUAAUUAUAGAAUUUUCUGUAUUCCUUAUUUUGGAAAAUCUGAUGCAGCUGUUGAAGAGCUAAGUCACCUCUUGGCCUAGUAACCUUCUAAUUUAGGAACUUCCAAGCCGUUCAACUGUCGAAACUCGCGAGAACUUAGACUCGACCACGAUAAUUGAGUGGAUCUGUAACCUACUAGGAAAGUGUGUAUCCCAUCAGACCAUGCGCAUCUACAUGAAUGCAAACGAGACCACUGACUGGAUUGGCCUCUUAUGCGACUCAACACUAGAGUGGCUUCAUUUGGAAGGCCCACCGGUGGCCGCAUUCACAUCCUCAAUAUAUGAGCCGCUGUUGUACCCAAAAAAAAAAACAUUCUUAGAACUUUUCAAACAAGCCCUUAACUAUUUCUUGCAUAGAAAAUCGGUAUUUGCUACCAACUUUAAAGGUAAUGAACUCAAAAAUGUAAAACUUAACAACUUAGGGGCGUACGAGUAAUUUAGUAUUAACUAAGAAAUCCAAAAAUAAUUUUCAUCAAAGUCGGCAAAAAUACCGACUGAAUCUAGGAAGCUUGUAAUCGGAUCAGCGCCUCGGUUCCGCUGCUGCCCUACCCUCAGCCUCUCCGAAACCCUUUCUCCGAUCCACCGACCGUCAUCGCCAUGGCCACCUCCGCCAUCCCCCACGAACCCCCUCCUGCCGGCGGCGCUACCGCCGGCGACGACCCCGAGGACGACGAUUAUGUCGAGUAUAUCCCCGUCAAGAAGCGCCGCGCCUUGGAGGCCCAGAAGAUCCUCCAGCGCAAGGGCCGCCUCUCCUCCGCCAGCGGCGGCGGUAGCGGUGACAAUCCGUCCGCCGACGACGACCCCGACCGGCCCUCCCUCGCCCCCGAGGCCAAGCCCAGUCUCCUCGUCAAGGCCUCCCAGCUGAAGCGCGAGCUCCCGGAGAUCAGCCCCAUGGAGCAGCGCGUCCAGCAGGAGAAGGAGAUGAUCGAGCACCUCUCCGACCGCAGGACCCUCAUGUCCGUCCGCGAGCUCGCCAAGGGCAUCACCUACACCGAACCCAUUCCCACCGGCUGGAAGCCCCCCACGGCCAUCCGCCGCAUGCCCGCUCGCCACGCAGACGCCAUUCGCAAGCAGUGGCACAUCCUCGUCGACGGCGAGGACAUCCCCCCGCCCAUCAAGAACUUCAGGGACAUGCGACUCCCCGAGCCCAUCCUGAAGAAGCUCAAGGAGAAGGGCAUCGUCCAGCCCACACCCAUCCAGGUCCAGGGCCUCCCCGUCAUCCUCUCCGGCCGCGACAUGAUCGGCAUCGCCUUCACCGGCUCUGGCAAGACCCUCGUCUUCGUCCUACCCCUUAUCAUGGUCGCCCUCCAGGAGGAGGUCAUGAUGCCGAUCGUUGCCGGGGAGGGGCCGUUUGGCCUCGUCGUUUGCCCUUCGAGGGAGCUCGCUAGGCAGACCUUUGAGGUUGUGGAGCAGUUCUUGGCUCCGCUUAGGGAGCACGGGUACCCGGAGCUGAGACCGCUGCUGUGCAUCGGAGGCGUUGACAUGAGAUCUCAGCUGGAAGUUGUGAAGAAAGGGGUGCACAUCGUUGUGGCCACGCCUGGGAGGCUCAAGGACUUGCUUGCCAAGAAAAAGAUGAACCUGGACAAUUGCAGGUAUGCUCACUGCAGCCUACUCUUCUUUUGAUAACAUUACUGUUACUGCAGUGAUCUUGUCGUGCAUUCUAUGAAUGUAUUGUUAAAUUUUGGUAAAUGAAGAAGAUUCUGGUUUGCAUAGCAUUUCAUGGACAAUUGCUACUUCUACACUUCAAAUCAGAGAAUCAAAAGUUAGUUGUCUGAAAACUUUUAAAAAUGUCAGACCAUUUUCCUUGCACACUGAAGUAGAGUUGAGCAAGAUACUGUCACAAAUAUCGUGAUAAGUUUGUUUCGCUAGGGUUUCUUAAUAUAAAAUUUCUGACUAAAAAGAUUCAAGAGGAAUCUAUAUAGGAAGGUCAACAAUGUUACUUUUCCGUCCAUAUUCUUUUGUUGCAUUAACUUCUGAAGUAAUGUAUCAAAGCAUGAUUAGAAAUAUUAGUCAUUGCAGGUGUCUAUUGUCAAGAAACUUAGCAAAAAAUAUGUUUUUUCAGCCAGUGUUGACCACGAGCCAUUAGUAAUCAGUGUAACUUGAAAUUCUAUUAGAAAUGCAUCAGUUAACCUGUUUUAGACUAUCUAUUUACUUUUUAUCCAUCUAUUCCCAAUAUGAAGUUCUUAACAUGGUUAGAGGAGUUUUUUCUCUCCAAAUGCCAAGGAAUUGGACUAUUGAUACCCUUCUUAUCAUUUGCAAGGAGAGGUAUAUGUUUUCCUUGCUAAAUUAUUACUUGUGGAUCAAUAAAGGAGUUUGAGGAGUGAUUCUAUAAUUCGAGAUCACCAUGAAGACUAAUGCUUAUGCUCUUGUGUUAUAUUUAAUUAAGACCUCACCUUCUCUAGGAAUCUUUUUUCACACCAAAUUAGUGGUAUCUAAAAUUUGCAUGGGUUUUAAUUUCUUGACCUUAAAUAUGUCCUUUUAAGCAAUGCUGUGGUCGUGGGUAUUAAAUUGCUAAAAAUUUCACAAGUGGUGUCAUGCAUGCUAUUUAGAUUUCUUUUUGGCUUUUUCCUCUUUUCAUUGGCUUCAGCUUCUUACUAUGAAUUGUUCUGUGAGACCAGCCAUCUACUGACAUAUGCUAGCAUCCAACUUUUGGUCCCAUUUCCCCUAUCAUUGGGGUCCUUGAUGGGAGUCCUAUCCAUCCUAGCCCCUUCCAGCCUCUUCCUUUUUCUCAUUAGUCCCUUGCUAGGAGUCUGUUUGUGAGACUAGCUGCCUAUUUACAUAAGUCAGCCCCCACCUUAGGUCCCAUUACAAAAUUUCUUCAAUUAGGAUCACCUUAAGCUCAGCCAUCUUGUUAAGAUGAAACAGAGGAAGUAGACAGAGUGUAGAGGAAAGGGCUGUAUAGGGGCAAUCCAUGCUCUAAUUGCUUAAAUUCCACCAUUGUCAUGAUCAUUGCUAUAUUUAUGUCUCAAAGGAUGUUGUUGCCAAUUUGUCUGCCAGUGAUAUGUCUUGUAGGUGGAUCCUUGUAUGAGAGAAAAAAGAAGGGAGACAUCUUAAGUGGGAAUUUACCCAAUUGGCCAUUUAGUUGGGAAUUUUUUGUGAGCUGGUGUUAAAGAUACCCAUCGGCAUUUGGUUUGGAAGGCAAUUACCAAAUUGUUAAAUGCUAAGUAAUAUACAGCCCAAUUAGACCCAUCUUUGAAGAAUAUAGGUGUUAGAACCUCAAACUGGAUCUGAUCAAGUGUCAUGCAUUAAUCAAAUCUUAUGUGAGGUAAAAAUAUAGGUUUUUGACAUAUCUUAGAUGCUCUCUCUCUCCCCUUCGCUCAAUCUCUCUCUUUUUGAGUAUAAGGCUGCAAACCAAAUGCAAGUGGUUUGGGCAAAUAAAAAUUUCACAUAGAAAAUUACAAGCUCUUUCCCUUAUAACGAAUGCUUUCUUGCAGAAACAUUGUUUUUGAAAAGAUGAACUGCUAAUUAUAGCUUUAAUUUGUAUGUCUAAUUGCAACAGUAGUGCAUGAAUUUGAAGGGAUUAAUUAAUGACCUCCAGGGGCAAUCAUUGCUUGCAGUUGUUUAUGGAAGUGAGUUGUUCCAAAAUUGCGAAGAUGGAUGCAUGUAUUAUUUCAAGCUGGCCAUAAAACAAGAGAAUUAACCUUCAGUGAGCGCUUUUGCAUACAUCUUCACAUUACCCGCUAACCCAAAGCGAACUCUAGUACUUCCACGUGUCAAAAUGUAGUUUGACAAAUAUUGAGAAUGACCGACUUCAAGCGGUGAUGCAGCAUUUAUUCCUCAAUUCUUGCAUCCACUUUUUAUGGGAGAACUAGAUUAAAAUCAGCUAGCAUAUGGAAACCAUUUUAUGAGUUUUAGUUUUUCUAGCUGGUCCUCAAUUACUAAAGCUGAGUUGGUAAUGUUAGAAAAUUGAGAUAUCCAAAUGAAACAGAGAAACCCUCAUUUAUCUUCCUAUUUUAAGGGAUAAUGGGUAUAUUAGCAAUUGGAAGAAAAUAUCAGGAAAUAUGAAAGGUAGAUAAAUGCAAUUCUUGUAACUUCUGGUUCUGCUAUUAUAAAUUAUUAGAUUAAUUUAAGAUAUGAUGAUGUAUUUAGGAUGUUGAUUAUGAUAUGGGUGAAUGUGUCUUUUUUUUGUGGCAACGGAUCGACAUGUGACAGUGGAGUUGAAAGUUUUUUUUGUACAAGCUCUUCACUUGGCAUAGUUUUUUUUUUCUUUUAAAUACUUUUGGGUACUUAUUGCAUCUACCAAAAUUGAGCAAGCAUAAGCCAUUAGCAUAAUAUUUGUUUAUUGGAAAACUUGUUGUUAACUAGUGUGCAUCUUCUCAUAAUGUAUGUGCCUUUGCAUGUUCAAAAUUUUCCUAGGCAUUGAUUUGUCCUAUAUUCAUUUGCAAGUACAAUGUUGCUUUUGUGUGUGUGCGCGCGCGUGUCCCCUAGCACAUGUCCAUUAUGUUGCCUAUAUCUGCCCCUUCAUUUUGUCUAUACCUUAAUAAUUUUCUCUUUUUUCUUUUCUUCCAUUCUGAUGACCUACAUUAAGUAUAAUUUACAAUGUAUGUAUCUAAGCUAAUGUACAUGCGGUCAUGCACCAUUGCGGUUUUAUAUUUUUCUGAAUCUUUUGUACUGUACAUGCAGUGUAAUUUACAAAGUAUGUGCCUAAACUAAUGUAUAUGCACCAUGAUAGCACUGUGAUAUUCACAUCAACUUGGUCCUUUCGGACUGUAGAUGCUUGGUUUAUAAUCCUAAACCAAUAUGUCACUCUAAAACUUGCCCAUCAAGUUCAGGAUCUGUUAUCACUGUGAAACUUCUGAUCAAUUUCUCUUGGACAAUGUAUAUGAUUCAUUUAUCUAUCCCUUCUUUUGUUUUCAUCAUCAUCCUUGGAAGCCAUUGUUGGUACCAACAAAUAAAAUGCUUCAGUGCUGAGAGUUUAUAUAUUGCUAUUUUAUCCAAUGAAGUUUGUAAUUCAUAUCAGAUUAACACAUAUAUAAGUACCAUUUUAGAAUCGUCACUUGGUGUGUCAAAAAGCAUGAUUUGCAGACAAAUUUUCAUUUUAUAUGUUUCAUGUGGUGAAUAUGACAGUAUAUUUAAGAAUUAGAAGUGUAUUCUCCUUUUUUCUUUUUCUUUUUUCCGUAUUCUUGAAUAUUUUGGAGCCUGAAGAUGCAGACUCAUGGUAACCUGAAGAUGGGUAUGGUAGGAUUUGCAAGAAGUUGAGCUGGUGUGUCAUCGUUUCCUGAAACUCUGUUGUAUUUCUACCAUCUCCAUGUCAUAAGUUGAUGAGUCACAUAUUUUGUGUCUGGAUCACUGGAGCUUGUUGUUAACCUGUGAGAGACAGUAUAAUUAUGAAAAAUCUUCUGAUGCUUGGAACUUGUUAGUGCUCAAUUUAAGCAGUUUGGGUUUCUUCUGAGAACUACUUUUCAUGUAUUCAUUUUUUCUACUUAUGAAAGUACCUGGAAAAAUAAAACAUUGGCUUGAGGCUGAGUGUUUAUUGUCUAAGACCAUCUUUCUUUGCUCAAAAUGGAUUGUCCAGUAGGAUUGCUGACAUUGACCUAUCUCAUCCUUCUCUUAUUGAUCCCUAUUGCAGGUAUUUGACAUUGGAUGAAGCUGAUAGGCUGGUUGACUUGGGCUUUGAAGAUGACAUCAGGGAGGUUUUUGACCAUUUCAAGGCCCAGAGACAAACCUUACUCUUCUCUGCCACCAUGCCAAAAAAGAUACAGACCUUCGCAAAAAGUGCCCUGGUGAAACCUGUGACUGUCAAUGUGGGAAGAGCUGGGGCUGCAAAUUUAGAUGUCAUACAGGAAGUCGAGUAUGUGAAACAAGAAGCUAAAAUUGUAUACCUCCUGGAGUGCCUCCAGAAGACCCCACCUCCUGUCCUGAUUUUCUGUGAGAACAAGGCUGAUGUUGAUGACAUCCAUGAGUAUCUACUUUUGAAGGGAGUAGAGGCUGUUGCCAUUCAUGGGGGCAAGGAUCAGGAAGAAAGAGAAUAUGCCAUCGCAUCCUUCAAAUCAGGAAAGAAGGAUGUCCUGGUUGCCACCGAUGUCGCUUCCAAGGGCCUCGAUUUUCCUGAUAUCCAGCAUGUGAUCAACUACGAUAUGCCUGCUGAAAUUGAGAACUAUGUGCAUCGGAUUGGCCGAACUGGGAGGUGCGGAAAAACUGGCAUAGCAACAACAUUCAUAAACAAGAACCAAACUGAGACAACACUCCUUGAUCUGAAGCACCUUCUUCAAGAAGCGAAGCAAAGAAUCCCACCGGUGCUGGCGGAGCUCAAUGACCCAAUGGAAGAUGAGGAUGGCAUCACCAAUGCAAGCGGGGUGAAGGGUUGUGCCUAUUGUGGUGGACUUGGCCACCGCAUCCGAGAUUGUCCUAAACUGGAGCAUCAGAAGACCAUGGCUAUUGCAGGUUCGAGGAGGGAUUACUUUGGCUCAGGUGGUUAUCGGGGGGAGAUAUGAUUAUGCCUCAUGUGUGUAUAUUUCUGGAGCAGCUUUUGGCAUUUCCAUUACCUGCAUGGGUGCUUGUACCAGGUAGAGCUGGUUAAGAAUGGAUGGGCUAAUAUUUUAUUUAAAUGGAUAGUCCAUUUUAUGUGUGUAAAUAUCUGAAGCAGCUUUUGGCAUUUCCAUACCUGCAUGGGUGCUUAUGCCAGGUAUAGCUGGUUAAAAAUGGAUCGGAGAAUAUUUUAUUUAAAUAAAAAGAUGAUAUAUUGAACAAAUUACUUACUAAUGGUUCAUAUCUAAAAAGCUUGACCAAUCAAGAGGUCGGUCAUGGAGGAUAAAUUUUCAGAAUGCAUCAGCCUUUGGUUCGAGUACUUUUGAUUUCCUUGUUUUCACUGUCGAUGAUCUUGCCUGUCAGUCAGCUGUUGGUGCAAAAGUUUUGCUUCCAUUCAUGUCAAAUGCAGCGCUUGAUCAAACAAGUGGUUUCCUUACCCCAUCUUGAAACAUGUGGCUUCAAUAUCAACGUGAAAUGCAAUCGAAUGAUGCUCCUUUUGAAAUAUAAAACCGUAAGAUCUAUGAGACAUUCUUCUUUGUUUUACCCCUACGGAGUUCGGUCAAAUGCUGACCACAAUAAAUACAUACAUACAUAUACAAUACAUAACAUACACGCAACACAUAACAUACGUACAUACAUAAAUGGAUGUAUGUAUGUAUGUAUUUUAAAGUUAUGCAACAUUUGACUACAACACGAGAUUCGUGUAAAGCGCUGAAUUUUAAAGUCACACAAGACGCAGGAAUAAUCUCCAGCAGUUCUUCAAAGAGGGAUGUGGUUGAUCUGCUGGCUCCAGGACUGGAUGAGCAAUGGUAAAGUGGAUUUGAGCUCGGUGCUUUGGCUGCUAGCUUCCAGCAGGAAGAUUUUCUGGAACAAGAUAUAUUUGUUGAGGGCCUGUUAGGAUGUUUUGUAUCCGUUAUCCUCGUAGUUCUAAGCCCUCACCGGAAGUUGAGAACCGAAGAGAGGCGAGCAGAGAAAAUAAGCGCUUCCCGCUCGUAGAAUUUUGAGGAAUAUGGAUUCCUUCAUUGAUGUGGUUUACUUUAUCCCUGAAAUCUUGGGAUUAGAUAAUCCCUCUCCCCCCAAAUCAUGCAGUCGCUCCCUUGACUUCAUAUUCCUCGCUUUCCCAUCGAAAGCAUAAUAUUCAAGGAUAAUGGAAGCAAAGCAUCCGAGCUGGCCUGUCUUUUUAUCAUGCAUAGGAUAUCCGAGUUCUCUCGAUCAUACGGUGCCUUACAGAACUUGAGCUGAGGUCCUGUGGAUACUAUGCAACAAAAUAGAGAACAGAUAGAUAAUUUUGUGUUCAGGGUGAUUUAGGUCGACUGUGCAGCAACUUUGAUGCACCGUGGAGUGUAAUACUUAUAUGGAUGUGUUGCUGGAAAUUGGACCUAGAGGUGACCGCGAACCAAGGAGGAGGAGCUCCGGCGGGUGGUGCGGCGGCGAACAGCUCUCUCCGGAGGAUCUGCAAAAAGCCGGUGGCCGGGGGUUUCGGCGCUGGCCCUCCGAUGCUUAAGUCAGAGAGAGGGUUUUCUUGUAGACAAAAGAUAGAGAUUACGUAAAAGAUGUCUAGAGGAAGGAGAAGAAGAAGCCCCCCUUGCCUUGAGAUCUUUCCCCCUUUUUAUAGGAGGGGGUGUAAGGGUUACCUGUGACUGGACGUAACCAUGCGAAUUAAUGAGUUACCGUACUGAUUGGACGUGAUCGUACGAAUUAAUGAGUUACCGUAGACGGCUCGAGAUUUUGAGCUGGCUGGCGACUCGUUGAGAUCGUGUGCAUUUAAACGUUGACAGUCGUUGAGGUGGAGAUCGCAUAAUUUGACCCCGGAUGAGGAGGAGGAGGAGAACUUGAUUUUCGGUGGAGUGGGGAGGUCUGCUUUUCUCUUUGACUGGGUCUUCCUUGGCUUUGAGGUUGGUCAGGCUUAACUUAGCCGAGAUUGAGGUUAUGAGCUCUGGGGUCAUUGGUGUUGAGACCGAGUGUUCUGAGGUCGGGUGCACUGAGGUUGAUCGCCUUGAGGUCGGACGUCUUGAGGUCAGACGCCGGAAGAGUAUGUUCGAUGCCGUCACGUUCGUCAUCAAGUGCGGCGAUUUAUCCACGUGUUUUGAACGAUCCAUUUUCCCCCCAACAGGAUGCAUGAUGACACAAAUUUUUUUUGUGGAUCCAUGCAUGACCGAUCACCACAUAUCUCAAAGCUGCUAGACAUAUUCUUUUUUUUUUUUUUAUUUUACUUUUGAGCCGGCUCCAUUACAGAGCCUCUUAGAAUAGAUACAGCCUAUAAGCUUAGUCACAAUCAAAUCAUAAAAAUAUUGGGGUAAGCUCCGACGAGGACUUCUGUCUCUCUGCCAGUAUGCUCUGCUGCAUAAAGUGCGAUAUUUUAUUUUCUGGAUAGUAUAUACUAAAUUUAAUUUCUCUCUCUCUUUUUUUUAAUACAAAGUUCCGCCAACUUUUGCUGCGGUGAAAGCAAUUGGUGCAAACUACAAACGUCGUUUAGUGAAACUGCUACUGGAACCUUCAGCACCCAAUUAGAUUGCUGAAAAAUAAAAACAGAAAAAAGGAGAAAAAUAUUAGAACAAGGUUUAUUUCUUCUUAGGUAUGGGGUGGGAACCCAUAAGUACGGAGCAUUGCUGACCUUAGUAAGAUGGAGAGGGUUGGCAACCAGCCAAGGCUGGUUGGUGAACCAUGUCUUUUGUAGAUCGGAGAGGGUCUAAGUGAGAAAAAAAAGAAAGACAAAAGAGCAAUAUUUUGUUAAAGGUCUAUAAUUUAAAUUGUUGAAGAUGAAGCAAGGCAAGUGCGAUGAUAGCAGUACUAAUGCAUCAGAUCCCAUCAGAACUGCACAGGUAAGCAUGCUUUCGUAUCGUGUACGUUGCACUCCUUUUUAAUUUUUUUCCUCGACUCUUCUAUUUUUGUAAAUUCUGAUUUCUUCUAAUAAAUUGGGAGGAAUGCCUUUAUUCCCUCCUUAUCCACUCAAAAAACAAUAAAGAAGUAGAAGCAAAACGGAUACAGAACAGUAAACCAUACUUUAAAUAUUUUCUUCAAUUUUCUGUACAGUUUUCCUACUUCACAUCACAGCUCUGCAUGCAUAUAAUCCCGUAAUAGUUUUUUUGAGAAAAAAUAAUCCCUCCAUAAUUACUGUAUUAGUUUACUGCAUUAGAUCUGAUCUGUAUCUACCUUAUUAACUUAAAUGUAUAAAUGAAAAAUUAAAAUAACAGCCACUACACAACAGGAUUAUCAGCUGUUAUUAACUUUUUUUUCUACUAUUGAUUAAAUUGGAAUAAUGCUGUAAAAUUGUUUGUCUUCAUACAAGUUCAACAUAAUAUAUAUUCUCUCAUAAGAAGCGAAAGAAAAAACACUUAACAGUGAUGCCGUACUCUCGUCGUCGUCCAUUAUAUCCUGUUUUAAAAAUUAAUAGCAGCCAUUGGAUGGUCAUUAAAGGAUCGAAUCGGACAUAUAGAGGACUGUUAUUUCUGUUAUAACAGUUAAUAAGUACGCUUCCUAACAUAAUCGUCCAUUUUAUGAUAUUAUUACUUUGCAAGCUUGUUAGACAGUCAGCAAUUGUACCCAUUUGAAGAUCUUUGUCUGAAAUCCACUUUGGAAUUGCCUGUAAGAGUUGUCUAUACAAUCUCAAGCCAAGAAUCCAAUACCUGCUCUAAUCUCAGCCAACACGUCUAUAGCCAAGAAUCGUCCAUCAUGCUGUCAGCUUGUGACAUUCCUUUGCAGCAGCAAUGGAAUUCCAUCUGCAAAUGAUAAAUGAUUGAGAAUGGAUCAUAGAUCCUCUAACUUUUAAUUUGUUCCUCGUAUAUCUUAGAAGCAAACCUUCCCCUCUUCUAAUAUUCCUAGAGAAAACGUAGGGUCGCCACCUUAAAAUACCUUGGUCACAACUAUGGAACCAUUUCCCAUAUAUAGUUUGACUCAGAAGUCAGAACCUCCUCUCAAAUGGAGGGAUGCAGCCAAUUAGAUAAUAUAUAUAUAUAUAUAUAUAUAUAUAUAUAUAUAUAUAUAUAUAUAUAUAUAAUAAUAANNNNNNNNNNNNNNNNNNNNUAUAUAUAUAUAUAUAUAUAUAUAUAUAUAUAUAUAUAAAAUCUUUCAUAAGUUAAAUAAUCAAAACUACAUUCAUACUAAUACCGCAUAGAGGUCCCUAGAAAAUUUUCAUCCAGAGAACUAAUUUUUUAAACAUGCCAUUUGUUCUCCCAAGAGGUGUGAUUCUUACCAACUAUCAAAACACUUUAAUAUGUUUAACAGAUUUAUGUAUUCAUCUAUGAUUGAGACUGGAUUUAUAUGAUAUCCUUUUUGUUCAAUGCGUAGCAGUAGUUUUAGCAGUUCACUUAUUUGCUUGUAAGAUCAUUAAGUGCACUACUACAACAUCAUGCAACAAUUAUCGACAUAGAAAUCAUUAAUAUCUUAAAUCUAAAUGCAGGAUGCCCAUAAAUUAGAAAGAACAGCCUUGCUGCCCAAAAUAGAUCUAGAGCUGUGGCACUCAUUCUAGCUAGUUUACAAUUUUAUUGCAUUUCGAUAAAAGAUGAGACACUGAAGGUUAUUGUCUUGUAUGAUAACUGAGAGUUUCUCGAUCAUUCUGCCACAAAAUCAGUUUUAUGACUGCACCGGGAUAAACCUGGAAAUGAUUCAAGAAAACCAAGCUUAUUGGCUCAUACUUUAUGUACGAAUCGGCAGAACUACAAAUUAUCUUGAAUUGCUCUGAAAUUGAGAUGUGGUCCAACUAUCCAUGUAAACAGCUCUGGAGAAAAAAGAAAUCUUUCCCAUCCUAUUGUUAAUUUUCUCAAAUUCAAUAAAUGAGUUGUUCCAAUCUGUCUGUUCUCUUUUUUUUAAAGAGAGGGAUAGAGGGAGAGGGACAUCGUUCCUCAAAUUCAAAAAGUUUCAACUGUUGUGGAUGUGUUGAUACUUGAUAUGGACUCUUCAUCUUGCAGUUGGUAUAUAUGCAUCACCAACAUCACAGCUUUCCUUUCAAAGGGAAAAGAAGGGAGAGUACAAUAUUUCAGCCCAUUUCUUUCUUGAAUAAAAGAUAACAGUAGUCCAUGUAGGGGCACAAGACCUUCCUUUUGAAACCCUACCUUUUGAGUAGACCUUUGGAAGCCAUAUUCCCACGCUAACCAUUUAAUUGACCUAUUCCUAGAUAUCUCGCAGAAUAUAAAAUGAAUGGGACCUUCUAUUCAAGCACCAACCUAUCACGGAAAAAAAAAAAAACAAAGACUUCCUUUUCUUAUGCAGUUUGGUUCGAUUAUCAGUAGGCUAAUAACAUAUUUUGCAUAUCUUAUCCUUAUUAUUUCUUUUCUUUUUUCAAUUAUAUCUAUGUCUCCUAUUGUGAAUAUGACUGCUUGAUGUCAAUACCUUAGAAAAGUGGCACCCAGAAGAACCAUAGAAAAUGAUUAAUAAAACAAAUAGCAAACCUUAGUUUCUAUAUGAUGACAAAAAUUAAUGGCAGCGACAGACAAUGAUGAUGUUUAGAUUCUUACCUUGGUAGGGACAUGGAGACCGCCAGCCCAUGCCAAUGACCAAAUUUCUGUAAUCUCCUCGGAUUUGACAAAUAUCCAUGAAGGCGAAUUUGACGAACAUUUCUUUAAGUGGAUUGCUAUUGGUAGAUGGUCUGCUGCAUGUAUUCUUAGAUUCAUAUAAUAUUGAUGAUGAUGAUGAUGACGACUGUAGUAGUAACGACCACCACCACCACCACCACAACAACAACAAAUGAUGAUCAUCAUGCUUGAAGUAUUAGCGUUCAAAAGUGCAUCAUGGUAAUUGGUUCAUAUCUUAAUUUAUAUUCUGCAAAGAUCUCCCUCAACGACAGGGAGAGACCAUAAGCAACAAUUAUCACAAGAGUGAUCAUCACAGACAAAAGUCCCUUGUCUUCUGUAUUUAUAGCUUCUGGUCAAAUGAAAAAACGAGAAUGAGAAAAAGAACAGGAACACAUUAUCUCUGCAUCUCCUAGCUAGCAACCACUCUCUUUUCGUACCUCAACUAUACCUGUAGUCUGUAUGACUAAAAAGAAAAAAGCUAAAUGGCCUCCACAAACUAUAGAGCCCCACCACCAUUAGCUGAGCUGUUUCUACUUAUUAUAGUACACUCACCACUAUUUUGUUCCCCAAGGAAGGUGGAUGGCUCCACUGAGCUUUUCAUUGAUUAGAAAAUAAAGGUACAGUAAAAGAAGGCAGGUUUUAUCUGCCCUUUGAACCUACUCUCAUUUCCAGCAAUCCAAAGUUAUUUAAUUUAGCCAGAACAACACAAUCCUAGCUAUAGCUGACUCAGAAUCGCCCAUAAGUUUGAUCAGUUCAACUCACAAACACAAAGU